This is an RNA transcript of Mandrillus leucophaeus (drill), 948 nucleotides long. It is a transcript of the gene named protein SET pseudogene, with no coding region annotated. NCBI's taxonomy places the organism in Eukaryota, Metazoa, Chordata, Mammalia, Primates, Cercopithecidae. The transcript is spliced from 2 exons. The record is from RefSeq and is a predicted model, not a curated record.
UCAGCCUGCUUCCGGACGGGCGAGGAGACUCGUGGUCUGGUUCUAGGACUUCCCAAACAGCAUGGCCCCUAAAGGGCAGUCUUCACUCCUGCCUCAAAAGAAGAAACCAAGACCACCGCCUGCUCUGGGACCGGAGGAGACACCGGCUUCUGCAGGCUUGCCGAAGAAGGGAGAAAAAGAACAGCAAGAAGCAAUUGAACACAUUGAUGAAGUACAAAAUGAAAUAGACAGACUUAAUGAACAAGCCAGUGAGGAGAUUUUGAAAGUAGAACAGGAAUAUAACAAACUCCACCAACCAUUUUUUCAGAAGAGGUCAGAAUUGAUCGCCAAAAUCCCAGAUUUUUGGGUGACAACAUUUGUCAACCAUCCACAAGUGUCUGCACUGUUUGGGGAGGAAGACGAAGAGGCACUGCAUUAUUUGACCAGAGUUGAAGUGACAGAAUUUGAAGAUAUUAAAUCAGGUUACAGAAUAAAUUUUUAUUUUGAUGAAAAUCCUUACUUUGAAAAUAAAGUUCUCUCCAAAGAAUUUCAUCUGAGUGAGAGUGGUGAUCCAUCUUCAAAGUCCACCGAAAUCAAAUGGAAAUCUGGAAAGGAUUUGACGAAAAGUUCAAGUCAAACGCAGAAUAAAGCCAGCAGGAAGAGGCAGCAUGAGGAACCAGAGAGCUUCUUUACCUGGUUUACUGACCUUUCUGAUGCAGGUGCUGAUGCGUUAGGAGAGGUCAUCAAAGAUGAUAUUUGGUCAAACCCAUUGACCAAAUAUCAGUACUACUUGGUUCCUGAUAUGGAUGAUGAAGAAGGAGAAGGAGAAGAUGAUGAUGAUGAUGAUUAAGAGGAGGAAAGAUUAGAAGAUAUUGAUGAAGAAGGAGAUGAGGAUGAAGGAGGAUGAAGAAGAAGAUAACUAAUAGAACACUGAUGAAUUCCAACCUUCCUUUUUAAAAAUUUUCUCCA